Long non-coding RNA from Zingiber officinale, 296 nucleotides. RefSeq lists it as uncharacterized. The record is from RefSeq and is a predicted model, not a curated record. Lineage: Eukaryota; Viridiplantae; Streptophyta; Magnoliopsida; Zingiberales; Zingiberaceae. The transcript is spliced from 3 exons.
CCCCUUUCCUCUCUCGGUAUCGCCGGCGAGGAGCAAAUCUUGGAGUGUGGAAGGAAAAGUGUUGGAUCCCUGAAUCCGUUGGUUUUGCCAGCUGUCGGAAGGGGAUCGAGGGCAUCACGAUUUGGAUCUGGCCAGCAUCAACCGAUUGGGGGAGGUAACGACCAUCGCUUCCUCCCGAUCCCCUUCUCUGUUAUCGACAAGGAACCGAUCGUGCCCUAGCUGUGAUCUUUGAGCUCGGUUGGAUCGAUCUCUUCAUCAGAUCUGUGAUUACCUCCGAUGAUUGAAGGGUGAAGAGG